UGCUAGCCUCUAAGAUUUAGCCAUGCAUGCUUUGUGAACCCAGACGGGGGAACGGCGAACGGCUCAGUAAUGUUGCGGUGAUCUGCUCUGGUUGAGAAAGAUAACCACGGUAAACUGUGGCUAAGAGACCAGAAUGAGCUUGCAACCCUAUCAGUUUGUUGGAAGUGUAAAAGACUCCCAAGACGUCGACGGGUAACGGGAAAUCAGUGUUUGAUUCCGGAGAGGGAGCCUGAGAGAUGGCUCCCACGUCCAAGGAUGGCAGCAGGCCGCGAAAAUUGUCCACUCUUUGGAGAGGAGACAGUUAUGAGGCGUGAUUAAAAGAGCGAAGUGUAAACACCUUCGUGUAACGCAAUUGGAGGGCAAGUUUUGGUGCCAGCAGCCGCGGUAAUUCCAACUCCAAGAGUGCCCAUGGUGGAUGCUGCAGUUAAAAAGUCCGUAGUCGUAGAUGCAAUUAAAGGGUGCGGAUCAAGCGCACUGAGUUUGUUGAGUUGUAGCGGAGCGGAUAGGGACAUGGUAUAGGUUGGCGAAGAAUGAAAUCUCAAGACCCAACCUGGACCAACUGAGGCGAAAGCGGUGCUCUUAUACGCAUCCGAGGAUCAAGGACGAAGGCUGGAGGAUCGAAAGUGAUUAGAUACCGCUGUAGUUCCAGCAGUAAACUAUGCCGACAUUCUCUGUCCAGCGGACGGGGAAGGGAGAAAUCUUAGUUUUCGGGCUCUGGGGAUAGUACGCUUGCAAGAGUGAAACUUAAAGCGAAAUUGACGGAAGGACACUACCAGGAGUGGAUUGUACUGCUUAAUUUGACUCAACGCGGGAAAACUUACCAGGGUCAAGUUCUCCGUAGAUCGAGUACGUGAGGGGAACGAGAGUGGUGCAUGGGCCGUUGGAAAUUGAUGGGAUGACUUUUAGCUUAAAUGCUGAAACCAGUGAGAUCUUCUAGACAGGUGCCCAUCCGGCACAGGAGGGCGAAGGCGAUAACAGGUCCGUGAUGCCCUUAGAUAUCCUGGGCUGCAAAUGCAAUACAAUAUCCAUGUCGAUCAAGAAAGGUGAUUAUGGAUGAGCAGGAUUAGCUC
RNAcentral lists this ribosomal RNA (1070 nucleotides) under Nucleospora salmonis. RNAcentral's name for it is "SSU rRNA". It matches the Rfam family "Microsporidia small subunit ribosomal RNA", at positions 28 to 1108 of the family's 1311-position model. Lineage: Eukaryota; Fungi; Microsporidia; Enterocytozoonidae. The record is from RNAcentral.